This 250-nucleotide ribosomal RNA is filed under the name uncultured prokaryote. RNAcentral's name for it is "partial 16S ribosomal RNA". It matches the Rfam family "Bacterial small subunit ribosomal RNA", at positions 524 to 773 of the family's 1533-position model. The record is from RNAcentral.
UACGAAGGGUGCAAGCGUUGUUCGGAAUUACUGGGCGUAAAGGGUGUGUAGGCGGCCAUUCAAGAUAGCGGUGAAAUCCCGGAGCUCAACUUCGGAAUUGCCAUUAUAACUGAGUGGCUAGAGUGACAGAGAGGAUAUUGGAAUACCCAGUGUAGAGGUGAAAUUCGUAGAUAUUGGGUAGAACACCGGAGGCGAAGGCGAGUAUCUGGCUGUAAACUGACGCUGAGGCACGAAAGCAUGGGGAUCAAAC